Non-coding RNA from Brugia malayi, 102 nucleotides. Lineage: Eukaryota; Metazoa; Nematoda; Chromadorea; Rhabditida; Onchocercidae. The record is from Rfam.
GGUUUAAUUACCCAAGUUUGAGGUAUUGAAUGUUUCGGCCCAGAGUUAGGCUACUGUGGCUUUGAGUGAAAUUUUGGAACGUCUGCAUAUUUGUGGGACAAU